This is a non-coding RNA of Spinacia oleracea (spinach), 134 nucleotides long. NCBI's taxonomy places the organism in Eukaryota, Viridiplantae, Streptophyta, Magnoliopsida, Caryophyllales, Amaranthaceae. The record is from Rfam.
UAAAAAGCAGGGUCCUAUUGCCUUAUUGUGAAUGGGCCUCUCGUAAACGUCAGGGAAAUCAAUUGUGUAUUGUUAUUGGGUGAACCACUUGAGUUUUCUCUAUGAUGGCAUGUUCAGUAAACGAUGCUACAUUG